Molecule: ribosomal RNA, 468 nt
Filed under: uncultured Rhodocyclaceae bacterium
Lineage: Bacteria; Pseudomonadati; Pseudomonadota; Betaproteobacteria; Rhodocyclales; Rhodocyclaceae
Description: bacterial SSU rRNA
Rfam family: Bacterial small subunit ribosomal RNA
Source: RNAcentral
AGACGGGACCGCACAAGCGGUGGAUGAUGUGGAUUAAUUCGAUGCAACGCGAAAACCUUACCUACCCUUGACAUGUCCGGAAUCCGAAGAGAUUUGGGAGUGCUCGCAAGAGAGCCGGAACACAGGUGCUGCAUGGCUGUCGUCAGCUCGUGUCGUGAGAUGUUGGGUUAAGUCCCGCAACGAGCGCAACCCUUGUCAUUAGUUGCCAUCAUUUGGUUGGGCACUCUAAUGAGACUGCCGGUGACAAACCGGAGGAAGGUGGGGAUGACGUCAAGUCCUCAUGGCCCUUAUGGGUAGGGCUUCACACGUCAUACAAUGGUCGGUACAGAGGGUUGCCAACCCGCGAGGGGGAGCUAAUCCCACAAAGCCGAUCGUAGUCCGGAUCGCAGUCUGCAACUCGACUGCGUGAAGUCGGAAUCGCUAGUAAUCGUGGAUCAGCAUGUCACGGUGAAUACGUUCCCGGGUCUU